GGGAGUCUGGCCGAGUGGUUAAGGCGUUGUGUUUAGGUACCUUCCUUCCCAGGAAGCGUUAGUUCUUGAACCGCAAUGUGCAUCGCACGCGUAGGUUCGAUCCCUACGGCUCCCA
RNAcentral lists this transfer RNA (115 nucleotides) under Tolypocladium ophioglossoides CBS 100239. It matches the Rfam family "tRNA". Rfam says of the family: Transfer RNA (tRNA) molecules are approximately 80 nucleotides in length. Their secondary structure includes four short double-helical elements and three loops (D, anti-codon, and T loops). The record is from Rfam by way of RNAcentral. Lineage: Eukaryota; Fungi; Ascomycota; Sordariomycetes; Hypocreales; Ophiocordycipitaceae.